Molecule: ribosomal RNA, 350 nt
Filed under: Cynorta fortina
Lineage: Eukaryota; Metazoa; Arthropoda; Arachnida; Opiliones; Cosmetidae
Description: partial large subunit ribosomal RNA
Rfam family: Bacterial large subunit ribosomal RNA (bases 74-350)
Source: RNAcentral
CUCUUUAAUUGGGGGCUGGAAUGAAGGGUAGAUUCUGAGAGGAAAGUUUUUUUAAAUGAUUUUGAAUUUGAUUUAAAAGUAAAAAAGCUUUUAUUAAUCCUUGGGACGAGAAGACCCUAGAAGUUUUAAAUAUAGAAAUAUUUUUUAUUGGGGCAAUAGUCUAAAGAUAAUAAUUUUUGGUUAAUGAAUUAAAUGUAUAUAAAUUACUCUAGGGAUAACAGCGUUAUUUAAUUAAUGAGUUCUUAUUAAUAGUUAAGUUUGCGACCUCGAUGUUGAAUUAAAUUUAAUAUAUGGUGAAGGGGCUAUGAUAUUUAGUCUGUUCGACUAUUAAAAAUUUACGUGAUCUGAGU